UCAUGAUCACGUGACAAUGAUGAACGUCGUUCCGGAGUCUAGAGCAACGUCCCAAACGCAGGACAGGUGGAUUCUGAAUCGCGAUGUAUUUAUUAAUUGUGAGUACCACGAAGGAGUAACAAUAUGAUGAAAUAAAAGAGAAGGAAGUUCGGCAUGGCAUUAGGCGUCUUUAAUUGAAACAAUUUUAAGAUAUAAAAUCCAUCUGACGAUUUUGAAAAUCUGAGAGAUCUGGGAGAAAUAUUAGGUAUCAGAGCAGAGUAACCAAAGUUUCGCCUGUUUAAACAUUAAGUGCGGGAGUGUCGUGUAAAGUGUCGCGCGUUCAAGUGCUGAAGUAUCGUGUAAAGUGUCGCGUGUUCAAGUGCGGGAGUGUCGUGUAAAGUGUCGCGCGUUUAAGUGCGGGAGUGUUGUAUAAAAUAUCGCGCGUUUAAAUCAAUAGACUGAUAAUUAUCAUGCAAUCCUGAUCAAUCUGAGAGGAGGAGCAGGCCUAGGAGAGGCAUCAAGCGCCGGUGGAGCAACUCUGUGAUCAACGUAGCUUUCAAUACAGUCAACUUCGUUGUUACGCAUCAUCGAUU
Non-coding RNA from Nylanderia fulva, 572 nucleotides. NCBI's taxonomy places the organism in Eukaryota, Metazoa, Arthropoda, Insecta, Hymenoptera, Formicidae. The record is from RefSeq and is a predicted model, not a curated record.